RNAcentral lists this ribosomal RNA (450 nucleotides) under uncultured bacterium. RNAcentral describes it as "partial 16S ribosomal RNA". It matches the Rfam family "Bacterial small subunit ribosomal RNA", at positions 354 to 796 of the family's 1533-position model. The record is from RNAcentral.
GUGGGGAAUAUUGGACAAUGGGCGAAAGCCUGAUCCAGCCAUGCCGCGUGUGUGAAGAAGGUCUUCGGAUUGUAAAGCACUUUAAGUUGGGAGGAAGGGCAGUAAGUUAAUACCUUGCUGUUUUGACGUUACCAACAGAAUAAGCACCGGCUAACUUCGUGCCAGCAGCCGCGGUAAUACGAAGGGUGCAAGCGUUAAUCGGAAUUACUGGGCGUAAAGCGCGCGUAGGUGGUUCAGCAAGUUGGAGGUGAAAUCCCCGGGCUCAACCUGGGAACUGCCUCAAAAACUACUGAGCUAGAGUACGGUAGAGGGUAGUGGAAUUUCCUGUGUAGCGGUGAAAUGCGUAGAUAUAGGAAGGAACACCAGUGGCGAAGGCGACUACCUGGACUGAUACUGACACUGAGGUGCGAAAGCGUGGGGAGCAAACAGGAUUAGAAACCCUGGUAGUCC